Molecule: long non-coding RNA, 906 nt
Filed under: Brassica napus (rape)
Lineage: Eukaryota; Viridiplantae; Streptophyta; Magnoliopsida; Brassicales; Brassicaceae
Description: long non-coding RNA (BNAP_LNC021995)
Source: RNAcentral
AACCUUUAAACAAAAACCAUUUUCCUUAGUUUCUAUAGGCCAUCCUCCUCCUGAGGAUCCUCCUAAUCCCUCCCAAUGAGUGUCAAGCUCUUUUUUUGGAAUGUUCGUGGCCUAAAUGACCCGGAUAAGCAUAUACCUUUUGUCAGAUGGCUUAGUAGCCAAAGACCUCUUUUUGGUGCCCUAUUAGAAACUCAUAUAAAGGAACCCUUUCUAAACCCUAUCUUAACUAAGCUUUGCCCAGGAUGGAAACACCUCUCAAACCAUAACUCUGACCCUGAUGGUCGCAUUAUUAUGAUCUGGAAGGACCCUCUUGAUGUAAUAAUCUUGUCCCAGUCAAGGCAGUGUGUAACGUGUAUGAUCUCUAUCCCAAACCAAGCUCUUAUUUACUACUCGGCCAUCUACGCCUCAAAUGAAAGUGAUGAGAGAGUGGAGCUAUGGAAUGAACUACUCCAAACACAUUCAGCGCUCGAUCUUGACUCCAAAAACUGGGUAGUAGGAGGGGAUUUAAAUCAGAUCCUUUUCCCUGUGGAACACUCUAACCCGACAGUUGAUCACAUGGACAACUUAAUGUGUCAACUGCAGGACUGCUUCCUCCAAGCAGGUCUGUUUGAUUUGCGCUACCUAGGACCCUGUCAUACAUGGACAAAUAAUCAGCCGGAGUGCCCCAUAGCAAAGAAACUAGAUCGGAUGUUGGUUAACAAUAACACCAUCUCGUAUUACCCUCAUGCUGUGGCAUCAUUCCUUCCCCCUGACUUAUCAGAUCAUUCCCCCUGUCUCCUUAUCCUGGCCCUCCACCUACCAAAAGCUGGAACCUAUCCCUAUAAAUUCCCAAACUACCUCACAAAACACCCGGGUUUCGCUCAGUUGAUUCAAAAUGCCUGGAUUCAUGCUGGAAGUAUAUGCCAC